UGCCAGCCGCCGCGGUAAUACGGGGGAUGCAAGUGUUAUCCGGAAUUAUUGGGCGUAAGGCGUCUGUAGGUUGUUUAAUAAGUCUAUUGUUAAAGCUUGAAACUUAACUUCAGAGAUGCAGUAGGAACUGUUAAACUAGAGUAUAAUUGAGGUAGAAGGAAUUUCCAGUGGAGUGGUGAAAUGCGUAGAUAUUUGGAGGAACACCAGUGGCGAAGGCGGCUCACUGGCUCGAUACUGACGCUGAGGUACGAAAGUGUGGGGAGCAAACAGGAUUAGAUA
This 279-nucleotide ribosomal RNA is filed under the name uncultured bacterium. RNAcentral describes it as "partial 16S ribosomal RNA". It matches the Rfam family "Bacterial small subunit ribosomal RNA", at positions 506 to 784 of the family's 1533-position model. The record is from RNAcentral.